Molecule: non-coding RNA, 107 nt
Organism: Otolemur garnettii (small-eared galago)
Lineage: Eukaryota; Metazoa; Chordata; Mammalia; Primates; Galagidae
Source: Rfam
GUGCUCAUUUCCACAGCACACAUACUAAAAUUGGAAUGAUACAAAUAAGAUUGCCAUGGCCCCUGCAUAAGGAUAACACAAAAAUUCAUGAAUCAUUCCAUAUUUUU